CUAAGUGGCGGACGGGUGAGUAAUGUAUAGUUAAUCUGCCCUUUAGAGGGGGAUAACAGUUGGAAACGACUGCUAAUACCCCAUACUCCUUUUAUCUUAAUGAUAAUUGGGAAACGUUUCUUCGCUAAAGGAUGAGACUAUAUGGUAUCAGGUAGUUGGUAGGGUAAGAGCCUACCAAGCCAAUGACGCCUAGCUGGUCUGAGAGGGUGAUCAGCCACACUGGAACCGAGACACGGUCCAG
This 241-nucleotide ribosomal RNA is filed under the name uncultured bacterium. Its description in RNAcentral is "partial 16S ribosomal RNA". It matches the Rfam family "Bacterial small subunit ribosomal RNA", at positions 91 to 334 of the family's 1533-position model. The record is from RNAcentral.